UCAUGUAUCAACUUUUAUUUUGUUGAUUUAUAGAUGUAAAAGUUGAAAACAAUUCAUGUAUUUUGGAGAAUGAUUAUGAUGUAAAAAGAAAUUAUGAAUGAAAGCAAAUGGAUGUAAUAGUUUUAGUUUACUAGUAUUUGAUUUAAAUGUAAUCAAAUAUUAUGUAUGGUUGUAUGUUUUAGCUUGAGAUUUUGCUUCCGUUGUU
This 205-nucleotide long non-coding RNA is filed under the name Ananas comosus (pineapple). RNAcentral describes it as "long non-coding RNA (ACOM_LNC005633)". Lineage: Eukaryota; Viridiplantae; Streptophyta; Magnoliopsida; Poales; Bromeliaceae. The record is from RNAcentral.